GCCAGUGUAGUUCAAUGGUAGAACACCCACCUUGUAACUGGGUAACAGGGGUUCGAUUCCCUUUACUGGCA
RNAcentral lists this transfer RNA (71 nucleotides) under Sterigmatomyces sp. RNAcentral describes it as "tRNA-Thr". It matches the Rfam family "tRNA". From Rfam's summary of the family: Transfer RNA (tRNA) molecules are approximately 80 nucleotides in length. Their secondary structure includes four short double-helical elements and three loops (D, anti-codon, and T loops). The record is from RNAcentral. Lineage: Eukaryota; Fungi; Basidiomycota; Agaricostilbomycetes; Agaricostilbales; Agaricostilbaceae.